AGCAUGGAUGAGCAGGGGCGGCUUCUGGUAGUGCAGGAGCAGCUGGAGGGGCAGCUGCAGUGCUGCCAGGAGGAGCUCCGCCAGCUCAGGGAGAAGAGGCCCUCUGUUGUCAAAGAAGCCCGGGGGAAGAAUGCUAAUAAGAACAUGAACAAGAAUGCCAAUGGGGUUAAAAUGAAAAAGGUGACCAAGCCAUGCUCGGAUACUUCUGAGAGCGACCUUGAGACCAGAAAGAGUCUGGAGGUAGUGCUGUACUACAAGGCCAGCCAGAGGAAAUUAGAUGGACUAGCAAAAGAGGAGGAAAAAAAGGAGGAAGUGAAAGAGGAAGCAAAGGAGCAGUGUGGGGACGAGCUAGUUGCUGAGCCAGCAGAUCCUGGGGAAGCUAAAUCCACAGAAGAUCAGGAGGAAAAUGAAGAGGACAAAGAGGAAGAGGAGAAGGAAGAAGACAGUGAAGAGGAGGAAGAUGACGUCGACUCUUCCCUUGAAAGUCCCGAAGAAAAUAACCCCCUCAGACUUUCCGAGAGCAAAAAGAACAUGUUUGGGUUGUGGAAGCCUAUGGUAUUCUUGGCUAUUGCAGCUGUGGCUCUGUAUGUGUUACCCAACAUGCGACAGCAGGAGUCAGAGUUCUGCCUCAUGGAGUGAUGGCAGACCUUGGCCAGCGCGAGGGCAGAUCCCCAGUGGCCACCACCCUCAGCUUUGGGCAGGACACACUGUGCCAGAACCCUCCCCAUAUGUUCCAUGUGUCCCCAUCUCCUCAGCCUCAGUCACCCAGGCUGAAAAGGCUUGUGGGGAGCGGCUGACUUCCAUCUCCUGCCUUGUGUAAGAACCUGAGUUCCUUGUAAUUAAAUAUCAACUGAAUU
This 857-nucleotide long non-coding RNA is filed under the name Gorilla gorilla gorilla (western lowland gorilla). RNAcentral describes it as "lncRNA (ENSGGOG00000044478.1)". The record is from RNAcentral. Lineage: Eukaryota; Metazoa; Chordata; Mammalia; Primates; Hominidae.